Molecule: ribosomal RNA, 553 nt
Filed under: uncultured archaeon
Lineage: Archaea
Description: bacterial SSU rRNA
Rfam family: Archaeal small subunit ribosomal RNA
Source: RNAcentral
CGGGGUGCCGCGGCGUCGAAUUCUUUUUCAUGCUUGCGACCGUGCUCCCGGGACACCGAGUGUCAGCAUCAUAUGCUGGCUGUCCGGGUGUGUAAAAUACACCCGUUACCAAGGGCCGGGCAAUACCGGUGCCAACCGCCGCGGUAACACCGGCGGCCCGAGUGGUGAUCUUGAUUAUUGGGUCUAAAAGGUCCGUAUCCGGUUUGGUCAUUCCUCCGGGAAAUCUGACGGCUCAACCGUUAGGCUUUCGGGGGAUACUGCCAGGCUUGGAACCGGGAGAGGUAAGAGGUACUACAGGGGUAGGAGUGAAAUCUUGUAAUCCCUGUGAAACCACCUGUGGAGAAGGCGUCUUACCAAAACGGGUUCUACGGUGAGGGACGAAAGCUGGGGGCACGAACCGGAUUAUAUACCCGGGUAGUCCCAGCCGUAAACGAUGCUCGCUAGGUGUCAGGCAUGGCGCAACCGUGUCUGGAGCCGCAUGGAAGCCGUGAAUCGAACCACCUGGGAAGUACUGCCGCAAGGCUGAAACUUAAAGGAAUUGGCGGGGGAGCAC